This 56-nucleotide transfer RNA is filed under the name Musca domestica (house fly). It matches the Rfam family "tRNA", at positions 12 to 63 of the family's 71-position model. Rfam says of the family: Transfer RNA (tRNA) molecules are approximately 80 nucleotides in length. Their secondary structure includes four short double-helical elements and three loops (D, anti-codon, and T loops). Lineage: Eukaryota; Metazoa; Arthropoda; Insecta; Diptera; Muscidae. The record is from Rfam by way of RNAcentral.
UAAUACAAGGUAGAGCAUUGGACUUUUAAUCCAAGGGUCCAGGGUUCAAGUCCCUG